CUGCGCCGCUGGGCCCAGUGCAGAAGUGCCGAGACGGGGGUAACCAGUUCCUGCCUGAGAAGCUGCUCUCACAUUCACCCACCUCCUGUGCCCCGAGUGGCUCCAUGAUGCUCCAAGAAGCUGGGGACGGAACUCUUUUUAUUAGACAUCAGAGAAUAGCCUUGCAAGUUUAAGGGGCUAACCUUUCUCCAGCUCAGCUCAACCUCAGUGCUCCCCUGCCUAUCCAGUCCUGUUGGCUUUGGAAUAAAUCACUUCCACCUAAAUACAGAGAGAGAGAAUGAUGGAAACAGAAGGAAAGGAAUUCAGCCAAGGCCGCCCAGGCAAUUGGAGGCAGAGACAAGAUUCAAACUCAGGACCUACAUGAUUCACGAAGCACAAUUCCUGCAUGUAUACGAUGUCCUGCAACAACAGACAACUGCCAAUGCAGCAGAAACUCCAGGAAAUUCAGAAGCAGGGGAGCUGCCCAAAGAUAGGUGGAGGGUAUUCAUAGACUCAGCUUUGGGGAGCCACUGAAAGAGGACACCACCGACUCAGUGGACAUGAAAUUUGAGCAAACUCCGAGAGAUACUGGAAGACAAAGGAGCCUGGGAUGCUGCGGUCCAUGGGGUCGCAAAGUGUCGGACACGACCUAGCAACUCAACAACAACAAGGACAUUCUUUGGUUAUCAAAUUUGUUUAUGUCGGAAACCUAGGGUUGUUGCUUCUGGGGAUAAAGGGAAGAAGUGAACUGGCC
Capra hircus (goat) is the source of this 733-nucleotide long non-coding RNA. Lineage: Eukaryota; Metazoa; Chordata; Mammalia; Artiodactyla; Bovidae. The record is from Ensembl.